RNAcentral lists this ribosomal RNA (344 nucleotides) under uncultured Alphaproteobacteria bacterium. RNAcentral's name for it is "SSU rRNA". It matches the Rfam family "Bacterial small subunit ribosomal RNA", at positions 242 to 603 of the family's 1533-position model. The record is from RNAcentral. Lineage: Bacteria; Pseudomonadati; Pseudomonadota; Alphaproteobacteria.
CAGCUAGUUGGUGGGGUAAAGGCUCACCAAGGCGACGAUCGGUAGCUGUUCUGAGAGGAAGAUCAGCCACACUGGGACUGAGACACGGCCCAGACUCCUACGGGAGGCAGCAGUUGGGAAUCUUGGACAAUGGGGGAAACCCUGAUCCAGCCAUGCCGCGUGAGUGAUGAAGGCCUUAGGGUUGUAAAACUCUUUCGGCGGGGACGAUAAUGACGGUACCCGCAGAAGAAGCUCCGGCUAACUUCGUGCCAACAGCCGCGGUAAUACGAAGGGGGCUAGCGUUGUUCGGAAUUACUGGGCGUAAAGCGUGCGCAGGCGGCCAUCCAAGUCAGUGGUGUUUUCUU